CAGUAGCCGCGGGAAUACGAAGGGGGCUAGCGUUGCUCGGAAUGACUGGGCGUAAAGGGCGCGUAGGCGGUUUGUACAGUCAGAUGUGAAAUUCCUGGGCUCAACCUGGGGACUGCAUUUGAUACGUACGGACCUGAGUGGAGAAGAGGGUCGUGGAAUUUCCAGUGUAGAGGUGAAAUUCGUAGAUAUUGGAAAGAACACCGGUGGCGAAGGCGGCGACCUGGUCUUUAACUGACGCUGAGGCGCAAAAGCGUGGGGAGCAAACAGGAUUAGAUACCCGCGUAGUCCCUGUCUCUUAUAC
Molecule: ribosomal RNA, 301 nt
Filed under: uncultured bacterium
Lineage: Bacteria
Description: partial 16S ribosomal RNA
Rfam family: Bacterial small subunit ribosomal RNA
Source: RNAcentral